This is a non-coding RNA of Eleginops maclovinus (Patagonian blennie), 799 nucleotides long. Lineage: Eukaryota; Metazoa; Chordata; Actinopteri; Perciformes; Eleginopidae. The record is from the annotation of a RefSeq genome assembly.
GACAAGCUGCUGGAAGCCUUUUCUCCACACUGGUGUACUGAGCUGUUCACCUCCACUAGAGGGCCACAUCAUCAAGUAGGCGGUGCACGACUUCUGCACUGUGUUCAACCAUUCAGUCAAUAAUAAGUGCUGCUGUGAAGAGAACAAUCCUCACCCUGAAUGCUGAGCAUCAGCUACUUCCUGCUGCUGAUUUAAACCUUGUUGUAGAGAUGGAACAUUGGCUGUGGAUUAUUCUUGCUGCUCUCUCCUUUGAGUGUAAAGGACAAGACACAGUGACCCAGCCAGCAGGAGAAGUGAGCGCUGCUGAAGGAGACACACUUACACUUGACUGCACAUUUAAGACCUCUGACAGAAAUUACUAUCUGUUCUGGUACAAACAAGAACACGGGAGCAGCAGCCCCACAUUCAUCCUGAGCCGCUUUAAGAUCGGCACGGGGAAAACAGAGGAGGAGGACAGAUUCUCUUCCACACUGGAUUCAAGCUUAAGAUCCGUUCCUCUGAAGAUCCAGAAGCUUCAGCUGUCUGACUCUGCUGUGUACUACUGUGCUCUGAGGCCCACAGUGACAGGAAACACCAACACUCUGUACAAAAACCUUUGGAGCAAAGACAACACAAUACUGCUCAUCCUCCCCCAGAGGGAGCCUCUCUCUGAUAGACUCCAUAGGUUGUGAUGAUACAGUAAUGUGAUUUACCUGCUUUAUAAUUGAACAUCAAUGAACAAUUCUCCACUACCAUACAAACAAAUGUACUGCCUCUGAUUCACAUCCACAGGUUCUGAUGUUUGACUCAAUCCGUUUGG